Long non-coding RNA from Ornithodoros turicata, 493 nucleotides. RefSeq lists it as uncharacterized. The record is from RefSeq and is a predicted model, not a curated record. Lineage: Eukaryota; Metazoa; Arthropoda; Arachnida; Ixodida; Argasidae. The transcript has 5 exons.
GAUCCGGCUCUGGCUACGCCAGCUUCCAACGGCAGUUGAGCAGCCAAUUAGAACGACGUCGUCGAGCGCGUGACGGACGGAAGUGUAACGACGGAUGCCCUUUAUAUAAAAGGCACGAAACUCCGUUCGAUAAUAAUUCUUCGGCACUCAGCUCUGGUACCCUCUGCAGACUCUGAAGGCAAUCGUCAUGAAGAGUGCCAUCCUUAUCCUGUUCGUCCUGGUCGCUUGGGGCGCUGUCUCCGAUGUGGAAGCCUCGCCUUAUGCUCCCGUAAAGCGCGCACUCGGGGCUGCUGCCCAAGGCUUCGCUGCUUCGUCGCAGGGGGCGCCUGGCGGUGGGCGGUUCCGUAGGAGCCGCUGCGUCCUGUCAGCUUUCCCUCUCAUCACGGUCGAGUGCUGACGGCACCCGAAUGGCGCUCUUCAAGAGGUCACCAAUACGAGUGGUUCUUAGCGCGGUUACACAGUGGUUACCGAGAAAUAAAAGCAUUGAACGAGA